UACGGAGGGAGCUAGCGUUGUUCGGAAUUACCGGGCGUAAAGCGCACGUAGGCGGCUUUGUAAGUUAGAGGUGAAAGCCCGGGGCUCAACCCCGGAAUUGCCUUUAAGACUGCAUCGCUUGAAUCCGGGAGAGGUGAGUGGAAUUCCGAGUGUAGAGGUGAAAUUCGUAGAUAUUCGGAAGAACACCAGUGGCGAAGGCGGCUCACUGGACCGGUAUUGACGCUGAGGUGCGAAAGCGUGGGGAGCAAACAGG
Molecule: ribosomal RNA, 253 nt
Filed under: uncultured bacterium
Lineage: Bacteria
Description: partial 16S ribosomal RNA
Rfam family: Bacterial small subunit ribosomal RNA
Source: RNAcentral